Molecule: transfer RNA, 69 nt
Filed under: Calyptraea chinensis
Lineage: Eukaryota; Metazoa; Mollusca; Gastropoda; Littorinimorpha; Calyptraeidae
Description: tRNA-Gln
Source: RNAcentral
UAUAAAGCAGUGUAAGUGCACAAAGAAUUUUGAUUUCUUAAGAGAGAUGUUUAUUUUCUUCUUUAUAGG